UGUCAUGCAGAGUCACCUGUUAGAAGAUGAACAUCUUCUGACUUCAGUAAUAGUUCCUAGUUUUGAAAGUAGAUACUGAAGCAUGAAGCAGAAGUUGAAAUGUACCGGUAAGUUUAUGACAUCAACAGAGCCAUGUGAUACCCACAAGACUGUUCAUUUGAGAAGAAUUUAGGACAUGUGGGUAAAUGCUCCUAAUUUCCUUUAUCUGAAGUGAAACAAAGCACAAUCUUCCCAUGGCACCUCAUGCCUACAUUCAAAUGACUAGUGACAUAACGAACAUAAUACAUGAAGGCUACCUCCCCCACUCUACCAUCCUCCCAGGUCACUAAGUGGUAAGUGAAACUCUCCAGGCACCGAAGCCAACCUCUGUGGCAUCAAUCUCAGCUCUCAUGCUUUACUCAUACCCCACAUGGAAUCCAUUAACAAAUCUCGUUGCUUUCUCAUGGCAGAAGCAUCCAGAAUCUGAGUGCUGUCCUUACCUCCAUGGCUGCUACCCUCAUUUCAGCCAUUGCCCUAUCAUUUGGAUGACCUCAGUCCCCUCCUGAAUGGUUUCCCACUUCUGCAGCCCCCUGCUCUGAUCAAUUUUCCAGCUGUCAGGCAGAAUCACCUUUUUGAAAUAGCAAGGGAGAGAGGUCCCUGCU
This 641-nucleotide long non-coding RNA is filed under the name Marmota monax (woodchuck). Lineage: Eukaryota; Metazoa; Chordata; Mammalia; Rodentia; Sciuridae. The record is from RNAcentral.